GGGACACGUGGUAUCCUGUCUGAAUAUGGGGGGACCAUCCUCCAAGGCUAAAUACUCCUGACUGACCGAUAGUGAACCAGUACCGUGAGGGAAAGGCGAAAAGAACCCCGGCGAGGGGAGUGAAAAAGAACCUGAAACCGUGUACGUACAAGCAGUGGGAGCACGCUUAGGCGUGUGACUGCGUACCUUUUGUAUAAUGGGUCAGCGACUUAUAUUCUGUAGCAAGGUUAACCGAAUAGGGGAGCCGAAGGGAAACCGAGUCUUAACUGGGCGUUAAGUUGCAGGGUAUAGACCCGAAACCCGGUGAUCUAGCCAUGGGCAGGUUGAAGGUUGGGUAACACUAACUGGAGGACCGAACCGACUAAUGUUGAAAAAUUAGCGGAUGACUUGUGGCUGGGGGUGAAAGGCCAAUCAAACCGGGAGAUAGCUGGUUCUCCCCGAAAGCUAUUUAGGUAGCGCCUCGUGAAUUCAUCUCCGGGGGUAGAGCACUGUUUCGGCAAGGGGGUCAUCCCGACUUACCAACCCGAUGCAAACUGCGAAUACCGGAGAAUGUUAUCACGGGAGACACACGGCGGGUGCUAACGUCCGUCGUGAAGAGGGAAACAACCCAGACCGCCAGCUAAGGUCCCAAAGUCAUGGUUAAGUGGGAAACGAUGUGGGAAGGCCCAGACAGCCAGGAUGUUGGCUUAGAAGCAGCCAUCAUUUAAAGAAAGCGUAAUAGCUCACUGGUCGAGUCGGCCUGCGCGGAAGAUGUAACGGGGCUAAACCAUGCACCGAAGCUGCGGCAGCGACACUAUGUGUUGUUGGGUAGGGGAGCGUU
RNAcentral lists this ribosomal RNA (820 nucleotides) under Escherichia coli. RNAcentral describes it as "partial 23S ribosomal RNA". It matches the Rfam family "Bacterial large subunit ribosomal RNA", at positions 419 to 1240 of the family's 2925-position model. The record is from RNAcentral. Lineage: Bacteria; Pseudomonadati; Pseudomonadota; Gammaproteobacteria; Enterobacterales; Enterobacteriaceae.